This 70-nucleotide transfer RNA is filed under the name Rasbora pauciperforata (red-stripped rasbora). RNAcentral describes it as "tRNA-Pro". It matches the Rfam family "tRNA". From Rfam's summary of the family: Transfer RNA (tRNA) molecules are approximately 80 nucleotides in length. Their secondary structure includes four short double-helical elements and three loops (D, anti-codon, and T loops). Further hydrogen bonds mediate the characteristic L-shaped molecular structure. tRNAs have two regions of fundamental functional importance: the anti-codon, which is responsible for specific mRNA codon recognition, and the 3' end, to which the tRNAs corresponding amino acid is attached (by aminoacyl-tRNA synthetases). tRNAs cope with the degeneracy of the genetic code in two manners: having more than one tRNA (with a specific anti-codon) for a particular amino acid; and 'wobble' base-pairing, i.e. permitting non-standard base-pairing at the 3rd anti-codon position. RNAcentral also lists the same sequence under 2 other names. The record is from RNAcentral. Lineage: Eukaryota; Metazoa; Chordata; Actinopteri; Cypriniformes; Danionidae.
CAGAAAGUAGUUUAGUUUAGAAUCUUGGCUUUGGGAGUCAGGGGUGUGAGUUAAAAUCUCUCCUUUCUGG